This 322-nucleotide ribosomal RNA is filed under the name uncultured bacterium. RNAcentral describes it as "bacterial SSU rRNA". It matches the Rfam family "Bacterial small subunit ribosomal RNA", at positions 28 to 339 of the family's 1533-position model. The record is from RNAcentral.
GACUAACGCUGGCGGCGCGCCUAACACAUGCAAGUCGCACGAGAAACUUCGUAGCAAUACGGAGCAGUAAAGUGGCGAACGGGUGAGUAAUGCAUGGGUGACCUGUCCUCAAGAUGGGAAUAACCUCGCGAAAGCGGAGCUAAUACCCGAUGCCAUUCCGGUCUCUCGGGAUCGGGAUGAAAGAUAGCUGUUACAGGCUGUUACUUGAGGAAGGCCCANGUCCAUCAGCUAGUUGGUAGGUAACGGCCUACCAAGGCAACGACGGGUAGCUGGUCUGAGAGGACGACCAGCCACACUGGCACUGAGACACGGGCCAGACUCC